RNAcentral lists this ribosomal RNA (588 nucleotides) under uncultured bacterium. RNAcentral describes it as "partial 16S ribosomal RNA". It matches the Rfam family "Bacterial small subunit ribosomal RNA", at positions 355 to 1376 of the family's 1533-position model. The record is from RNAcentral.
UGGGGAAUAUUGGACAAUGGGCGCAAGCCUGAUCCAGCAAUGCCGCGUGUGUGAAGAAGGCCUUCGGGUUGUAAAGCACUUUUAUCAGGAGCGAAACGCUGUCGGCUAAUACCCGGCGGAACUGACGGUACCUGAGGAAUAAGCACCGGCUAACUUCGUGCCAGCAGCCGCGGUAAUACGAAGGGUGCAAGCGUUAAUCGGAAUUACUGGGCGUAAAGCGUGCGUAGGCGGUUUCUUAAGUCUGCUGUGAAAUCCCCGGGCUCAACCCGGGAAUGGCAGUGGAUACUGGGAGGCUAGAGUGUGUCAGAGGGUGGUGGAAUUCCCGGUGUAGCGGUGAAAUGCGUAGAGAUCGGGAGGAACAUCAGUGGCGAAGGCGGCCACCUGGGACAACACUGACGCUGAGGCACGAAAGCGUGGGGAGCAAACAGGAUUAGAUACCCUGGUAGUCCACGCCCUAAACGAUGCGAACUGGAUGUUGGUCUCAACUCGGAGAUCAGUGUCGAAGCUAACGCGUUAAGUUCGCCGCCUGGGGAGUACGGUCGCAAGACUGAAACUCAAAGGAAUUGACGGGGUCAUAGCUGUUUCCUG